UGUACGGCAGCCUACCAUGCAGUCGAGCGCGCCUUCGGGUGAGCGGCGGACGGGUUAGUAACGCGUGGGAACGUGCCCUUCUCUACGGAAUAGCCUCUGGAAACGGAGAGUAAUACCGUAUACGCCCUUUGGGGGAAAGAUUUAUCGGAGAAGGAUCGGCCCGCGUUAGAUUAGGUAGUUGGUGGGGUAACGGCCUACCAAGCCUACGAUCUAUAGCUGGUUUUAGAGGAUGAUCAGCAACACUGGGAUUGAGACACGGCCCAGACUCCUACGGGAGGCAGCAGUGGGGAAUCUUAGACAAUGGGGGCAACCCUGAUCUAGCCAUGCCGCGUGAGUGAUGAAGGCCUUAGGGUCGUAAAGCUCUUUCGCCUGUGAUGAUAAUGACAGUAGCAGGUAAAGAAACCCCGGCUAACUCCGUGCCAGCAGCCGCGGUAAUACGGAGGGGGUUAGCGUCGUUCGGAAUUACUGGGCGUAAAGCGCGCGUAGGCGGAUUAGAAAGUUGGGGGUGAAAUCCCGGGGCUCAACCCCGGAACUGCCUCCAAAACUGCUAGUCUAGAGUUCGAGAGAGGUGAGUGGAAUUCCGAGUGUAGAGGUGAAAUUCGUAGAUAUUCGGAGGAACACCAGUGGCGAAGGCGGCUCACUGGCUCGAUACUGACGCUGAGGUGCGAAAGUGUGGGGAGCAAACAGGAUUAGAUACCCUGGGUAGUCCACACCGUAAACGAUGAAUGCCAGUCGUCGGAUAGUAUACU
This 749-nucleotide ribosomal RNA is filed under the name uncultured bacterium. RNAcentral's name for it is "bacterial SSU rRNA". It matches the Rfam family "Bacterial small subunit ribosomal RNA", at positions 37 to 837 of the family's 1533-position model. The record is from RNAcentral.